GACAGAGGAUGCAAGCGUUAUCCGGAAUUACUGGGCGUAAAGCGCGCGUAGGCGGCUUUGCAAGUCGGGUGUGAAAUCCCCAGGCUUAACCUGGGAACUGCAUUCGAGACUGCAUUGCUAGAGUAUGGGAGAGGGAAGUGGAAUUUCCGGUGUAGCGGUGAAAUGCGUAGAUAUCGGAAGGAACAUCAGUGGCGAAAGCGACUUCCUGGACCAAUACUGACGCUCAUGUGCGAAAGCGUGGGGAGCAAACAGG
Molecule: ribosomal RNA, 253 nt
Filed under: uncultured bacterium
Lineage: Bacteria
Description: partial 16S ribosomal RNA
Rfam family: Bacterial small subunit ribosomal RNA
Source: RNAcentral